This 1257-nucleotide ribosomal RNA is filed under the name Kiritimatiellales bacterium. Its description in RNAcentral is "partial 23S ribosomal RNA". It matches the Rfam family "Bacterial large subunit ribosomal RNA", at positions 1693 to 2925 of the family's 2925-position model. The record is from RNAcentral. Lineage: Bacteria; Pseudomonadati; Kiritimatiellota; Kiritimatiellia; Kiritimatiellales.
AGAGAAAAGUUGUUAAGGAACUCGGCAAAUUAACCCCGUAUCUUCGGAAGAAGGGGUCCUCAAACAGGCUAGUAAUUUACUUGCGAUGUUUGUUUGAGGCGCAGUGAAGAGGCGAAGGCGACUGUUUAUCAAAAACAUAGCACUAUGCGAACUCGCAAGAGGAAGUAUAUGGUGUGACACGUGACCAAUGCCAAAAGGUUAAGGCAAGGGGUUAGGACUUGUUCCGAAGCUCUAAACCGAAGCCCUGGUGAAUGUCGGCCGUAACUAUAACGGUCCUAAGGUAGCGAAAUUCCUUGUCGGGUAAGUUCCGACCUGCACGAAUCGUGUAACGAUCUUCGCACUGUCUCAACAACAAUCUCGGUGAAGUUGUAGUUCCGGUGAAAAUGCCGGAUACCCGCGGCAGGACGGAAAGACCCCGUGAACCUUUACUGUGACCUGACAUUGGAAUUUGAUAUGUCGUAUGUAGGAUAGCUGGGAGGCUUUGAAGCAUCUUCGUCAGGAGGUGUGGAGCCAUUGGUGAAAUACCAGUUUCGGUUUAUUGAAUUUCUAACUACGAUCCCCUGAAUCGGGGCGUGGAACAGUGUCUGGGAGUCAGUUUGACUGGGGCGGUUUCCUCCCAAAGAGUAACGGAGGAGCACAAAGGUACCCUCAGCAUGGUCAGCAAUCAUGCGAAGAGCGUAUAGGUAUAAGGGUGCUUGACUGCGAGACCUACAAGUCGAGCAGGUGCGAAAGCAGGUCUAAGUGAUCCGGCGGUAGCUAGUGGUAGCGCCGUCGCUUAACGGAUAAAAGGUACUCCGGGGAUAACAGGCUGAUGAUUGCCAAGAGUCCACAUCGACGCAAUCGUUUGGCACCUCGAUGUCGGCUCAUCGCAUCCUGGGGCUGGAGAAGGUCCCAAGGGUUUGGCUGUUCGCCAAUUAAAGCGGUACGCGAGCUGGGUUCAGAACGUCGUGAGACAGUUUGGUCCUUAUCCGCCGUGGGCGCAGGAAGUUUGAAGAGAUUACUCCUUAGUACGAGAGGACCAGGAUUAACAUGCCUCUGGUGUUCCAGUUGUCGUGCCAACGGCAUCGCUGGGUAGCUACGCAUGGAAAGGAUAAGCGCUGAAGGCAUCUAAGUGCCAAGCCCCCUCUAAGAUAAGACUUCCCUUGCUCUUCGGAGCACUCAAGGCUCGUUCAAGACUAGGACGUUGAUAGGCUGGGCGUGAAAGUGCAGUGAUGCAUUGAGCUAACCAGUACUAAUUAGCCGUGAGGCUUGAUCUUA